Molecule: long non-coding RNA, 583 nt
Filed under: Homo sapiens (human)
Lineage: Eukaryota; Metazoa; Chordata; Mammalia; Primates; Hominidae
Description: HSALNT0379480
Source: RNAcentral
UCCGCAUGGGCAGGAGAAGUCUUCAGGGUGUGUUUGCUGGAUUAACGACAGGUCGAUGCCAAUACAGGACACCCCUGCAGGAAUGGGACAAUGCAGGAUGGCUGCUGGGUGGGAUCACAGCUCCACACUUCGGAGGAGGAAGACUUUGUGUCAGUCUCCAGUGAUCCCUCACCUGGACCCCUAUCUUUCCUCAAACACCUCUGCUUCCUGCCUCUGUCCCUUUUGGAACUAAAGGCCUGUUCCUCAGCCAAAGUCCAGAAUCCUUUCUUCUCAAGCAUGAGUCCCCUGCCCUCCAGUUGCUUGGCCCAGUAAGGAAGUCAGAGAAGGAAACAGGCAACUGCAAUCAAGUGACAUGAAUGCCAGUGGUGUGGCGUAGGUGCAGCCUAGCCAUGGGAUGGGCAGGUCACGAAGGCAGGGAGACAUGCUGUUCAGAGCAUCAGAGAUUUCACGAAGGGCAAGCUUCAGUGGGGUGUCCAGCAAGCAGAUAUUUGCCUCUACUUGUUUACAUGUGACCUCCUGGGCAGGGUCUGUGAUGUAGGCGGGCCUGCACCCUCACUGCCUAGCACAGAAUUAUGUAUUGAUA